GGGUCCCACUGCCUCGGAGGGGUUCCCUUCUCGCCCGGUGCCCUCUAGCGCCGUCGCAGACCCCCUGCCGGGGCCCCUGGACCCUUCCUGUCUGGGCAGGCUCAGUGAGGAUCUAGAAAAGUCUUCCUGUCCCAGUCCUGGUGUGCCCCGGGGCCUGGGUGAUGACCUCCACGCCCGAGGGCGCUCGGACUCCUGGCUGGGCAUUUCAAGGCAGGUGCAGCUGGGGAUCCCAGCAGCCCCACUCGGAGGAGCUCUGCCCCAGGGUGGGUGGAACACCCCAGUGGAAACCAGAUUCCGAGGCAGGACUGUGGGGAUGGGCAGGGCGAGAGUAUGGCAUGAGGUCUCCCUCCGUUGCCUGUCCCAAACCCUUCCUGGUUCCUCAGGGAAUGUGGGGGGACAAGGGAAAGGGAGAGAGUGACUUGCCCCAGCUAGUCCACCUCUGGGGCCGCCUCCCUCCUCCCCCAGCCAGCCACAGGGUUGAGGGUUCCUCAUUCCCAAGGUCAAGCCUGCCCUUGGUGCUCUCUGCUGGGCAGGAGCCCUUCUGCUGCCGGCCUGGGUCCUGGGCUCCAGCUGAGGAGCCUGCCUGAUGUGGGAUCUGGGGAGGGAGGGGUCCCCAGGGCCUGCCUCAUUUCCAGCCGUAGGCUCUUUCACCAUGGGAGGAGAGGAGGGAAGACGAAGAGGAAGUCCCCUCGGCUCUGGACACCAGGCCCCUAGCCCCAGACCCCUGCAUGAGAGCAUCAGCUCUCCCCUGUGACUAGGCCUUCUAGCUCCAGAAACAAAGGAUUCCCAGGGCCUAUCAGAUGAGGCGCCCUGAAAACAUAGGCUGGGCUUCUGUGAGAUGGGAGAAGGACCAGAAAUAUGAUUUAAAUUUCACCCUGCUCACACACCCAGCUUGAUGGCACUUGGCUAUAAAGCUGGUCUCAUUGGGCCUGAGGGUCCCUGAGAGCUGAGCUUGGCAGCCCCUGGGGCCCAGCCUCGCCCCUAGUCCUGGAAGUGAGAGUGAAGCAUUUUGCACUGUGUCCUUCCUUGCCCAAAGCACACACCAGGCAGUGACCAUGACUCAUGGUUCCCAGUACAAAGAAAAGACCACUUCCCAGCUGGGGCAGAGGCCAAGUCAGAGCCCCGACCCCAUCGCCUCUCUGCCCUGCUUGAGUCUGGAAUGGACCUGCCUGCCUGGAAGCUGCAUUGCCCUUGGUCCUGGGCCCGCCCGCCCCCUGGGGAACACAGGCAGCGGUCACAGUGACAGUGAGGCCGUGGCAGCAUCAGCAGCAGAGGAUGCCCCAGGCCCUGGAGCGUGCAGAUGGCAGCUGGGCCUGGGUGGUGCUGCUGGCCACCGUGGUGAGCCAGGGCCUCACCCUGGGCUUCCCCACGUGUAUUGGCAUCUUCUUCACUGAACUGCAAUGGGAGUUCCAGGCCAGCAACAGCGAGACCUCUUGGUUCCCCUCCAUCCUCACGGCUGUAGUCCACAUGGCAGGGCCCCUGUGCAGCAUCCUGGUGGUACGCUUCGGCUGCCGAGGGACUGCGAUGCUGGGAGGCGUGCUGGCCAGCCUGGGCAUGGUGGCUGGCUCCUUCUCCCGCAGCCUCAGCCAGCUCUACUUCACAGCAGGAUUCAUCACAGGCCUGGGCAUGUGCUUCAGCUUCCAGUCGAGCAUCACGGUGCUGGGCUUCUACUUUGUCCGCCGACGGGUGCUGGCCAACGCACUGGCAUCUAUGGGCGUCUCCCUGGGCAUCACACUCUGGCCACUGCUCUCCCGCUACCUCCUGGAGGAUCUGGGCUGGAGGGGUACCUUCCUUGUCUUUGGUGGAGUCUUUCUCCACUGCUGCAUCUGCGGGGCCGUCAUGAGGCCUGUGGCCACCAGCGUGGCCCCUGAGACCAAAGAAUGUCCCCCGCCACCUCCCAAGACACCUGUGCUCGGCUGCCUGGCUGCCUGUGGCCAGACCAUCCAGCGCCACCUGGCCUUUGACAUCCUGCGGCACAACACAGGCUACCGCGUGUACACGCUGGGCGUGAUGUGGUCAAUCCUGGGCUUCCCACUGCCACAUGUCUUCCUGGUGCCAUAUGCCAUGCGGCACAGAGUGGACGAGCAGCAGGCAGCCCUUCUCAUCUCCAUCAUCGGCUUCAGCAACAUCUUCCUGCGGCCCCUAGCCGGGCUGGUGGCAGGACGGCGGGCCUUUGCCAGCCACCGCAAGUACCUGUUCAGCCUGGCAGUCCUGCUCAACGGGCUCACUAAUCUGGUGUGCGCAGCAUCAGCCGACUUCUGGGUGCUUGUGGGCUACUGCCUGGUGUACAGCGUGUCCAUGAGUGGCAUCGGCGCCCUCGUCUUCCAGGUCCUCAUGGACAUUGUCCCCAUGGAUCGCUUCCCCAGCGCCCUGGGACUCUUCACCGUCCUGGACGGACUUGCUUUCCUCAUCUCCCCGCCACUGGCCGGGCUCCUCCUGGACAGCACCAACAACUUCAGCUAUGUUUUCUACAUGUCCAGCUUCUUCCUCAUCUCAGCUGCCCUCUUCAUGGGCAGUAGCUUCUAUUCCCUGCAGAAGAAGGAGCAGCAAGGCAAGCAGGCUGUCGAGACAGAUGCCUUAGAGCAGGAUCUUUUCUUGGAAGGCAAAGACGGUUCUGGGAAGCAAUGGUGCCCUGAGAUCAUGUAUGUGACCAGCGUCUAAGACCCAGGGGUCACCUAUGUGACCAAUGUCUGAGUCCUGAAGUUACUGAGUGAACAGUCUCAGCCCAGGAGGGGGACCUCCAGCUCCUUGACCAGGGGCUCUGGUGAAGAGCAGCCCAGGAAACUCAGGCUGUCAAGGCUGUGCAAGCUGGGACUCUACCAGGAACUGAGACCUUGCAGCCUGGCCUC
Molecule: RNA transcript, 2849 nt
Organism: Sapajus apella (tufted capuchin)
Lineage: Eukaryota; Metazoa; Chordata; Mammalia; Primates; Cebidae
Gene: SLC16A5
Gene name: solute carrier family 16 member 5
Exons: 6
Source: RefSeq, a predicted model, not a curated record